This 1886-nucleotide long non-coding RNA is filed under the name Anas platyrhynchos platyrhynchos (common mallard). RNAcentral describes it as "lncRNA (ENSAPLG00000030251.1)". The record is from RNAcentral. Lineage: Eukaryota; Metazoa; Chordata; Aves; Anseriformes; Anatidae.
AAGAAAUAAAUGUUGAGGUGUUUGAAAGCUACAGGAAAUGAGAUGUCCCUCAAGAAACAUGAAAGGUCAGGAGUAGAGAAAGCAAGGAAGCAUAAAAUUAUGGCAUUGGUAUUCAACUACGAUCAGAAGUGAAGGGCUGUGUUAUCUGAAUUCCCAAUUGUAAGGUUGAAUUGAGGAGUUAACAGAAAAAGUACGGACUUACAAAGCAGAGCGGCACAGUGCAGCAGCAUGAACUAAAUCAAACACUCCUAGCUCUUCUGUCAGUUGUGAAGGAGAGCUUAUGUUCUCCAGUUAUUUCAGUUACAUUGAAUCUUCCCGACAUAUCUAUAAUGUAUCCUGUCUUCUGCAUGCAACGCUCCUCUUGAACGAUAACAUGUAAUUCGUGGCACUAAAUGAUCAGCCUAUUUCAUUUGCUGCUUUCCCAUAUUAAUCUUCCCAUUAAAAAUACAGAAACAACAAAGGAGAUUAAUUUAAUGCUUUUUCCUUUUUUAAUUUAAAAUUAUUGCAUGGGGCCUUCUGACCAUCUCAGCACAUGUCCCUUUUAAUGUGCUGAAUCUUCAGCAUGGAUUAUUACUGAGCGUAACCCAAAUUGCUUAGCCCCACGUUUAUCAGAUGCCCACUAGCCGUAACUCUCUGCAGAGCACACAGGAACAGACAGCAUUUCAUGCAAGAUCUCCCCCAUGGAUGUAACCAGGCCCUGGGGCUCUGGCUGUUCCUGCUGGCCAUCAGCCAGGUGAGAAGGUCUCAGCCCACCAGCACGGAGCCCACCAGCAGCAGGAGGAACGAGAAAGAAGUAUCCUCACCAGUGAGAGCUUCAGGGAGAAAAGUAGGCAUGGGAUGUACUUGGCCAUGUCACGGUGCAGAUAGCACUGCUGGGACACUGUGAUGGCAGAGGAGUGGGAAAAAGGAGCAUCCCUGCUUUCCCCUGUCAUUACAACAUCCCCAUCUAAUCUUCCUUUUGACAUGCUUGACAAUAUAAGCAUGUUCUUUACACCCCCAGGAGACUUCCCUGGCUGCAAUUUAUCACUGAAAUGGCUUGAUUAAAUUUAAUUUUACUCUUUAUAAUUUUUCUUUUUUUUUUUUAAAUUACCUCAGCACUUUGAGAGGAAACUACUUUUUUUUUAUCAGUCGGUCUGACAGCUGAUUGUUUUGAGUUUUUUUUUACAGCAUCUGACACAGCUGACACCACUGUUCUUAUCAUAAAUAUCUGCCACAUUAGUUUAAAGCUGUGAUUAAAGCUGCUCUGCAUUCUGCUGGCAAGGCAGCUGGACCUGCACGAAUUACGAUAAUAACCACACAAGCUCCUUCCUGCGAAGAGUGCUGUUUCUGUAGCUGUGUCAGACAAGUGCUGCCUUUUAAGAAUGAUUGCUCAGCUCUAAGUGACAUUUUUUGGCUUUCUUUUAGAAAAGUAAGUUAUUUAUUUGCCUGGUAUUUUAACUAAAGAACACUAUCAUCCCUAGAGAACAAUUCUGUUUUUCAGCACCGGAGCAAUUACUUUCAGCUGUAUCAAGUGCCUGAUGUUUAAAAGUCUGUAUGGUUUCAUGGAUCCAAGAAAUGCCUUCUCUAAAGGACUCCUGAGCUAACUUCUCUGUGGUUCUCACCACCCUCACGGUCUCCGAAGUACGUCACUGCGUAUUGCUCACUCGUCGUUUAUGAGUAAAUGCACACCCAACUGGGAGAUGUUACACCCGGAGCUGAAUAGGACACAAAUGCAUAUGGACAUGAUUCCGUCCUUUAGACCUUGUCUGGAAAAGCUGUCCUUGUUCAGGACAAUGACAGAGAAGGAACUCUCUGGGGCUUUCUUCCAAGGGUCUAACUGAUGAGAGGUGUGGAUAAAAUGAUUUUUUUUUCCAUUUCCAAUAUGACCAUACAAUACAAUAUUUACC